RNAcentral lists this long non-coding RNA (200 nucleotides) under Lathyrus oleraceus (garden pea). RNAcentral's name for it is "Pisum sativum (pea) long non-coding RNA (PSAT_LNC021463)". The record is from RNAcentral. Lineage: Eukaryota; Viridiplantae; Streptophyta; Magnoliopsida; Fabales; Fabaceae.
UUUGAAGUAGGGGCAAACUAUCUAUUCUUCAAAGUACCAUGGAUUAAAACUUGAUCAUCCAAUGGUAGGUUUGAAGUAUGGAAGGUUUUAGUCAACCACAAACCAAAUAAGUCAUGACCCAAGUAGAUUUCAUUAGUCCACAAGUUCAAGACUUCAUAAGUCCACCAAAAAUAAUUUAAAUGACUUGAUAUAAAAUAAAA